AUCCUGGCUCAGGAUGAACGCUGGCGGCGUGCCUAAUACAUGCAAGUCGAACGAAUCUUCUUCGGAAGAUGAGUGGCGAACGGGUGAGUAAUACAUAGGUAACCUGCCCAUGUGCCCGGGAUAACUUCUGGAAACGGAUGCUAAAACCGGAUAGGUAGCAGACAAGCAUUUGACUGCUAUUAAAGUGGCUAUGGCCAUGAACAUGGAUGGACCUGCGGUGCAUUAG
This 226-nucleotide ribosomal RNA is filed under the name uncultured bacterium. RNAcentral describes it as "partial 16S ribosomal RNA". It matches the Rfam family "Bacterial small subunit ribosomal RNA", at positions 16 to 244 of the family's 1533-position model. The record is from RNAcentral.